RNAcentral lists this ribosomal RNA (297 nucleotides) under uncultured bacterium. RNAcentral's name for it is "partial 16S ribosomal RNA". It matches the Rfam family "Bacterial small subunit ribosomal RNA", at positions 524 to 776 of the family's 1533-position model. The record is from RNAcentral.
UACGAGAGGGACGAGUGUUAUUCAUAUUUAUUUGGUGUAAAGGGCAAGUCGACGGGCUUAGAAAACAACACAAUGAAAUCCUAAAUAUUUUAUUUAGAACUGUUGUGUAAUUGAUAAUUAAACAUGAGCGCGAAUCAGCAGCUUAAUUAAUUUGUAGUGAGUCUAGAAUAUGAUAGAAGAUAGUGGAAUUGUUGAAGUAAAUGUAAAAUGUUUGGAGUUCAAUAGGUACACCGAAAGCGAAGGCGACUAAUCUAAGUAAUAUUGACGUUCAGGGGCUAAAGCGUGGUAUCGAUUGAG